RNAcentral lists this ribosomal RNA (253 nucleotides) under uncultured bacterium. Its description in RNAcentral is "partial 16S ribosomal RNA". It matches the Rfam family "Bacterial small subunit ribosomal RNA", at positions 524 to 776 of the family's 1533-position model. The record is from RNAcentral.
GACAGAGGGUGCAAACGUUGUUCGGAAUUACUGGGCGUAAAGCGCGUGUAGGCGGUUGUUCAAGUCGGGUGUGAAAGCCUUGAGCUCAACUCAAGAAAUGCACUCGGUACUGGAUGACUAGAGGACCGGAGAGGAUAGUGGAAUUCCCAGUGUAGUGGUGAAAUACGUAGAGAUUGGGAAGAACACCAGUGGCGAAGGCGGCUAUCUGGACGGUUUCUGACGCUAAGACGCGAAAGCGUGGGGAGCAAACAGG